Molecule: non-coding RNA, 30 nt
Filed under: Papaver somniferum (opium poppy)
Lineage: Eukaryota; Viridiplantae; Streptophyta; Magnoliopsida; Ranunculales; Papaveraceae
Also listed under: 287 other names
Source: RNAcentral
UCCGUAGGUGAACCUGCGGAAGGAUCAUUG